This 327-nucleotide ribosomal RNA is filed under the name Triticum aestivum (bread wheat). RNAcentral's name for it is "partial small subunit ribosomal RNA". Lineage: Eukaryota; Viridiplantae; Streptophyta; Magnoliopsida; Poales; Poaceae. The record is from RNAcentral.
AUGGCACAAUCUGAUAAGGGGAUGCCUCAAGUUGGCAUGUUAUUUAAAAGUUCAGAGGAGGCUUGGCUGCUUUGGAGAGCAUAUGGUGGUCGUGCUGGCUUUGAUGUGAGGAAGGGGUACAACAAUGUGAGCAAAUUUGAUGUGAAGGUCAUCGUGGAAGCUGAGUCCACUCCUACUACAACUCCAGCCGCCAGUGGCGCAUCCAUCACCAGGCUUUCGGGUAGGGGUCGGGAUGGCCGGGUCCGCAUCCUAGCUGCAUGCGGCCAGCAAUCCGCCCGUGGAGAAAAGAGAGGAUGCCUGGCCUGGAUUGGAUUGGACAAAACCUAG